RNAcentral lists this ribosomal RNA (465 nucleotides) under Vreelandella stevensii. RNAcentral's name for it is "partial 16S ribosomal RNA". It matches the Rfam family "Bacterial small subunit ribosomal RNA", at positions 338 to 795 of the family's 1533-position model. The record is from RNAcentral. Lineage: Bacteria; Pseudomonadati; Pseudomonadota; Gammaproteobacteria; Oceanospirillales; Halomonadaceae.
CCUACGGGAGGCAGCAGUGGGGAAUAUUGGACAAUGGGGGCAACCCUGAUCCAGCCAUGCCGCGUGUGUGAAGAAGGCCCUCGGGUUGUAAAGCACUUUCAGUGAGGAAGAACGCCUGGUGGUUAAUACCCAUCAGGAAAGACAUCACUCACAGAAGAAGCACCGGCUAACUCCGUGCCAGCAGCCGCGGUAAUACGGAGGGUGCGAGCGUUAAUCGGAGUUACUGGGCGUAAAGCGCGCGUAGGUGGCUUGAUAAGCCGGUUGUGAAAGCCCCGGGCUCAACCUGGGAACGGCAUCCGGAACUGUCAAGCUAGAGUGCAGGAGAGGAAGGUAGAAUUCCCGGUGUAGCGGUGAAAUGCGUAGAGAUCGGGAGGAAUACCAGUGGCGAAGGCGGCCUUCUGGACUGACACUGACACUGAGGUGCGAAAGCGUGGGUAGCAAACAGGAUUAGAUACCCCAGUAGUC